Molecule: ribosomal RNA, 425 nt
Filed under: uncultured bacterium
Lineage: Bacteria
Description: bacterial SSU rRNA
Rfam family: Bacterial small subunit ribosomal RNA
Source: RNAcentral
GGGGAAUUUUGGACAAUGGGCGCAAGCCUGAUCCAGCAAUGCCGCGUGCAGGAUGAAGGCCUUCGGGUUGUAAACUGCUUUUGUACGGAGCGAAAAGGCUCUCUCUAAUACGGGGAGUUCAUGACGGUACCGUAAGAAUAAGCACCGGCUAACUACGUGCAAGCAGCCGCGGUAAUACGUAGGGUGCGAGCGUUAAUCGGAAUUACUGGGCGUAAAGCGUGCGCAGGCGGUUUUGUAAGACAGAUGUGAAAUCCCCGGGCUCAACCUGGGACCUGCAUUUGUGACUGCAAGGCUAGAGUACGGUAGAGGGGGAUGGAAUUCCGCGUGUAGCAGUGAAAUGCGUAGAUAUGCGGAGGAACACCGAUGGCGAAGGCAAUCCCCUGGACCUGUACUGACGCUCAUGCACGAAAGCGUGGGGAGCAAAC